CGGCGGACGGGUGAGUAACACGUGGGUAACCUGCCUGUAAAACUGGGAUAACUCCGGGAAACCGGGGCUAAUACCGGAUGGUUGUUUGAACCGCAUGGUUCAGACAUAAAAGGUGGCUUCGGCUACCACUUACAGAUGGACCCGCGGCGCAUUAGCUAGUUGGUGAGGUAACGGCUCACCAAGGCGACGAUGCGUAGCCGACCUGAGAGGGUGAUCGGCCACACUGGGACUGAGACACGGCCCAGACUCCUACGGGAGGCAGCAGUAGGGAAUCUUCCGCAAUGGACGAAAGUCUGACGGAGCAACGCCGCGUGAGUGAUGAAGGUUUUCGGAUCGUAAAGCUCUGUUGUUAGGGAAGAACAAGUGCCGUUCAAAUAGGGCGGCACCUUGACGGUACCUAACCAGAAAGCCACGGCUAACUACGUGCCAGCAGCCGCGGUAAUAUGUAGGUGGCCAGCGUUGUCCGGAAUUAUUGGGCGUAAAGGGCUCGCAGGCGGUUUCUUAAGUCUGAUGUGAAAGCCCCCGGCUCAACCGGGGAGGGUCAUUGGAAACUGGGGAACUUGAGUGCAGAAGAGGAGAGUGGAAUUCCACGUGUAGCGGUGAAAUGCGUAGAGAUGUGGAGGAACACCAGUGGCGAAGGCGACUCUCUGGUCUGUAACUGACGCUGAGGAGCGAAAGCGUGGGGAGCGAACAGGAUUAGAUACCCUGGUAGUCCACGCCGUAAACGAUGAGUGCUAAGUGUUAGGGGGUUUCCGCCCCUUAGUGCUGCAGCUAACGCAUUAAGCACUCCGCCUGGGGAGUACGGUCGCAAGACUGAAACUCAAAGGAAUUGACGGGGGCCCGCACAAGCGGUGGAGCAUGUGGUUUAAUU
This 871-nucleotide ribosomal RNA is filed under the name Bacillus amyloliquefaciens. RNAcentral describes it as "bacterial SSU rRNA". It matches the Rfam family "Bacterial small subunit ribosomal RNA", at positions 96 to 951 of the family's 1533-position model. Lineage: Bacteria; Bacillati; Bacillota; Bacilli; Caryophanales; Bacillaceae. The record is from RNAcentral.